UGGCAUCUAUUUCACUAUUAAAGUCACAACGGACAAAAGAUGAGCAUGCGUCCCAUUAGCUAGAUGGUAAGGUAACGGCUUACCAUGGCUACGAUGGGGUAGGGGUCCUGAGAGGGAGACUCCCCCACACUGGUACUGAGACACGGACCAGACUCCUACGGGAGGCAGCAGUGAGGAAUAUUGGACAAUGGGCGCAAGCCUGAUCCAGCCAUGCCGCGUGCAGGAUGACGGUCCUAUGGAUUGUAAACUGCUUUACACAGGAAGAAACAACGCUACGUGUAGCGUCUUGACGGUACUGUGAGAAUAAGGAUCGGCUAACUCCGUG
Molecule: ribosomal RNA, 325 nt
Filed under: uncultured bacterium
Lineage: Bacteria
Description: bacterial SSU rRNA
Rfam family: Bacterial small subunit ribosomal RNA
Source: RNAcentral